UUUUUUAAAAAAAAUUUAGGCGGGAAUAUUUGAACGACUUACAUGUAAGUCGUCUGUUUUAUUUUCUUCACCAGACGACUGAAAUGUAAGUCGUCCGAGUAAAAUGAUCAUGUUAGGUUAAAACGUACAUUGGUAAAAUUAAAGGUUCGGUACGAUGUGGACGACUGAAAUAUACGUCGUCCGGGUAAAUUAUUCAACAUACGACUGAAAUAUAAGUCGUCCACACCCUAAACAUAACCCCUAAACUUAAUUAUCUAAUUAAACACUUCAUAAAACCAAAUCAAACUCGAAAAGUGUUUACUAUACACAGAAAUAAACACAUAUAGGUGAAAACUAAUUUUUGAAAAAAACAUUUUAGUUUUCGAAAAUCUAACCCUAACAAUACAUACAAUACUACAACAUAUGUUUGCCAAACUCCUAAACAAAAGUAUUUCAUGAUUCACUACUUCCACUCAUCUAUCUUCAAAACAAAUCAAUUUUAUCAUAUCUUAAUUUAUAUCACUUAAAACUGUUUAUAAUUACUUGAUUUUUAUUUUUCACGCAUCAAAAUAUUUUUUUACAAGAUUUAUAAAUUAUUUUUAAAAUAAACUGGUACCAGAAGACUUACACUUCAGUCGUCCAGACGACUGCCAACAUCUCAGACGACUCAGACGAUUUACUGGAGCUAUAUUCGUAAAAAUGGCUUCUGUUUUUUUGUUUGGUCACAAGGGGUUGAGCUGUAAUUUCACUCGGAUUUUAGGUUAGUUUUGCAUUUGAUUCAAGUUUGGGUAUAGGUUUGGGAUUAAAAUCAAGUUGUGAGUUAGUUUUGGCAAAACCCCACCAGAAUAUGUGAUUAUAGUAAGAUUUGUUUUUAUUGAUGUACAACAUGAAUCACACAUAUUAGUUUUUCCUCAAAUUAUGCUAGUAUAAUUUUAUUGAUGUUGAAUUUUCUUCAUUUAUUUUAAUAAUGUUAACUUUAUUUCAUUUUCUAAGUGAUAUUAAUGAAAAUUAGAAAAUGUAUCAGCUAUUAAUUUAUGUAAAUUCACAUUUAUGUAUCAGUUUCAAAAAAGUGAUGUAAGUUACAUAAAUUUAUAUUAGUUUUAUCGAAGUGAUGUCAAAUAAUUUAAUAACAACAUCAAUUAUUAGAAUUGAUGGUAAAAAAAUAAUUUGUAUCAUUUAUUUAUAAGUGAUUUAAAUUGCUAUCAUUUAUUUUUGUGAUACUAUUUAUGUGAUGUAAUGUGAUUUUUUUUGUAGUGUUUGUUUGUUUGUAUUAGUGUAAUAAAUGUUGUUCAAAAUUUUUUUUUUAUGUAUUUGGUAUAUGGUCACUAGAUUUAAACUCAAGGUGUGUGAGUUGUUGACAAAGAAAUAUAAUUGAUAAUAAAUAGAUUAGUUCAUGUAUAUUUUAUUUUAUCAAUGAGAAUCCUAACAAUCCUAACAUAAAAUAACAAAUGUUAGUUUAUAUUUUUGUUGUUUUUAUCAUUAUUAUAAUUUUUAAAUACUAGAAAAUUUGAGGUAAAACCAUAUAAUUUUUUAUACCUAAAACUUCAACAUAUAAUAUUAAUUUUGUCUCCGAAAAUUAAUAAAGUUUAAACACGAAUAUAAGUAAUUUCCUACUGUUUGAAUCUUAAAUGUUGUUUGAAUAUAAUAAGACUGUAUGUGACAACCAUACAUACUGACAUACACUCAACAAACUGAAAACAAUUACAAUAGAAACAUCAUCAGCUAUAAGUUAUUUACUGUCUCUCUAAAGCAUUACAACAUCUUAAAAAUUUCUUGGAUACAAAUUUUGAUUAAUAAUUAAGGGUUAAUAAUUUAUUGUUAAACUAUUUUUUUGAAUGAAUGUUAAUUAUAUUCAUCAAAGCUCUGUUAUACAUCAAGUGCAACUACUUAGAAUGGUAAUUUUUUAAAAGGUAAAAACAUCAAUCUUAAACUUUGGUACCAGACCAAAUUUGAAGAAGCCUAAACUGUCGUUUGGAUCAAGGAUCGAUCACAAGAAAUAGAGAUCAAGUCCGAUAGGUUCAUCGAGCAGUCUAGUAUCUACUUUCGCUGACUAGAGAUGUGCGGCUCAUUCAUUCAAUAUCAAGCAAUCUACUACACGGUUAAUGAGUGGAUUAAACCUAAGAUGUAGCAGUAACUAUCAGGUUAAAGCUAGCAUUAAGAGUUGAGAUGAACGAAGACACAAUAGAGUUGCUUAUUUAUGUUUAGCCUUGCGAUUAACACCCUAGAACCCUAGACAAUCUAGCUAACUACUCAGCCAUAACCCAAGAUAAAUAAGACAUGAUAACUGAAUAAUAUUGCAUAUAAAUCCAAAGAUAAAUCAACAGGGUUCAGGAUGAUCUUCUCUGUCAAGAAGAGGAGCCGUCUCCCUUACAAUAGCAAUUAACCAAGAAUAGGUCUAGGUCUCUUGCAAAACUAGCGUAAUCCAAAAAUAAAAGAUAGAGGCAACUUUUAUAUGGAGGCGCCCUUAGACUUCAGAGUGGGGAAUCGGCAAAUCUUUAAAAGAUAUGGAGACUUUCAUAAAUGUCGAGAACAAUCGUCUGGCUGCUCCUGGUAGGAUCAACCGUCAGACUGCUCCACUUGAUUGUUCUUCGGGGAAAGUCUCUAAUUCUAGCUCCUUUCUUCACGCUUCUUCCUUUAACUCUUAAGUCUUCUCCAGACCUGAAAUGACUCUAAAAAGACUAGACUAACUCGAUAAAACACUCAAAACAAGUUAGGAAACAUAUACACAAUGAUGUCAAAAACACUAUAUAUCAAUUAAUGUUUUGGAUUCAUAAUUUUUCACUGAUUGAAAAUAAAAUAAAUAAUUUUUUUUAGUAAAACAAACUAAGCCGAAUGUUUAAUCAUAUGAAAACUCGAUUAUUUUACUUUUUGAUUUUAUAAUUGGCACAAAGUUAAUGAUGAUUAACUAAUAAAUAAAAAUCUACAAUAUUAUUAUAGUAAUAUAAUUAAUGAUGUGAUGUAUUGUUAAGAUAAUAUGAUUAAUAAAAUUGCUAAACUCAGUAAAAUAUGUAAAUACAAUUAAUACAAUUAUAUUAAUGAAAUUACUAAAAUGAUAUUAUCUAUAUUUCUAACCAAUUCUCGUUUACAUUAUUAUGCAUAUUUUUAAAUAAUUUUUAUUUAUCAUGUUAUUCAUAUUCGCAGCUAGCAGAUAUAGACUGACUUGAUUUGUCAGUGACAUCUCGUAAAUUGGUUGAAAUUUAAAAAUUCCUCCAAGUUAGGUGAACAAUCCACAUCGUUAUUGUCAUCAAUCAGCGUCAUGCCAAUUUUCAAUUAAAAAUAUGUAAUGUGACACUUUGAUUAUAAUAUAUGGAUGUGCAUGUAACGUAAUUCACCAUAAGGUCAAAUGGCCCACGAAUAUAAAGCCCAAGUCCACUAUAACUAUUAGCAAUAUAAUAUGAUCUAUCUUCGUGGGCUUAUUCAGUAAUACGAUACCUACUUGUUAAUUUCGAAGUAGUUCUUCGAUGCUAUACAAAAAGAAAAUGACUAUCUUUCUCGAAACAAGUAUAAAAUUAUUAAAAAAUUCAUUAGGAAAAAAAAGAGAAUCGGAAAAAAAAGGAAGAAAAUAUUCCCCUUUUAUAUAAUUUGACUGUCUGGUAUACUACCAUCAGGGCCGGUCUUGAGGGGAAGCCACCCAAUCCAAAGAUUACGGCAUCCAAAUUAGUGGGGUAUAUAUAUUUUUUAAAAAUAUUAGUAUAUACAUAAAAAGAAAAUCUGUAGAUUAUUUUGUUAAAAUAUUAUCUAUUGGACAUAUUCAGUUAUAAUAAAAUUUGUCAAACUUUUUAAAUAUAGGGCUUUUUGCAAAAUUGACCUACAACUUAAAGUUAAACACAAAACUAACCUCUUUUUUUUUUUAAUUGGUUUUGCCCUAUUCACCCCACAAGUUCAUAUAAUUUACGAAAAUGCCAUCAAUUUUUUUUUUCUUUUCGAAAAUGACAUCUUUACUCACUCACCCUCAUCAUCUUCAAGUAAUUACAAGAUUGCCAUUGUCAUCAAUACCACAACCACCAUGAACAACCAAUUUAAAGCUCUUAAUGCUCCCAAAAUCGAUUUACCCUUCUUCUUUUUCCAUUCUUGUGAACUAAACACAACAUAUCUCUCACCUUCUCUCCACAAUGAGCUAAAAAAACCCAAGAUUUUGAUUCUAAAAUUUUUAUGGUUCAUAGAGUCAUAGAAGCUAACGAUUCUGGGUGGGUGACUUUCGUUUGUGAUUCUGUGUGCUUGGAGAAGCCUUAUGUAUGCUAAGGAACUUAUCUCACCAAUUUAAGGUAUGACAUCGAGUUUUUUUCCAGAUUUGUUCGUCAGACGACUUACUUGGGAAGUCGUCUGGCUGUAGACGACUUACCUGGAAGUCGUCUGGCUGUUGACGACUUACCUGGAAGUCGUCUGGUCAACGCAAAGGUUAUUUUUGCAAUUGACUUUGAAAUCUGUAACCUGAGACGACUGAAAGUUAAGUCGUCUACUAUUGUUUGGUUUCAAAAAAAUUUCCAAAGAACCUAGACGACUUACAUUUCAGUCGUCAUAGGUUAGUUUUGCAUUUGACUAGAUAAUUACAGAAGUUUGACUUCCCCAGAUGACUUACAUUUCAGUCGUCUGUCGAAAAUUAAAAUAAUAAUUUUUUUUAAAGUAAACGACUUACAAUUAAGUAGUCAUAGGUUAGUUUAGCAAUUGAAAAAAAAACUUCAAGAUUUAAUUAUACACAGAAGACUUACUUGUAAGUCGUCGAGGAUUUUUUUCCGAGAUUCUGGUCAAACCUCGUAAAUCCUGGACGACUUACAUUUCAGUCGUCUCGUGGACGACUGAAUUAUAAGUCGUCUGUAUAUAAUUAAAUCUUGAAGUUUUUUUUUUCAAUUGCAAAACUAACCUAUGACAACUUAACUGUAAGUCGUCUACUUUAAAAAAUAUAUUAUUAUUUUAAUUUUCACUAGACGGCUGAAAUGUAAGUCGUCCAAAAAAGUCAAACUUCUGAAAUAAUCCAGUCAAAUGCAAAACUAACCUAUGACGACUGAAUUGUAAGUCGUCUAGCUUUUUUGGAGUUUUUUUUUAACCAAACAAUAGUAGACGACUUAUUUUUCAGUUGUCCGAAAUAACAGAUUUCAACGUCAAUUGCAAAAAUAACCUCUGCGUUGACCAGACGACGUAUAGUUUAGUCGUCUGGACAACUUAUAUUGAAGUCGCCCGCGUCUUCUCCGCUAGUUUUUAAGUCUUCUACGUUAGUUUUUGAAUAACUUGUAUUUUUAAGAGUGAUAAGUAACUUCAAGAUAUGUAAAACUCAUAUUUACAAAAUAUGUUCUCUCCCUUAGUUUUACUAAAUUUGACUAAGUUUUUCAACGCAAACUUAUAAAAAAUAUGAUAUGCUUUGACUAGUUACUAUUGUUUGUUUCCAUCUCUUAAGUAUUAUUGUAAUAGACAAUAAUGAUGACUAUUGUUAUGAGUUGGAAGAAGGGUUAAAUGCUUCUUAAAAUGUUGUACCAAUAUGAAGGUACCAACAUUCUUGUUUAUUAAGAUGAGAAAAGGCCAUUGGAGUUUAUUAUUUCAUAUGAGAGAUCCAAAGAUAAGAAAAAGGCUAUUGAAGUCUAUUAUUUCAUUGAUUUGUAAAUGUGUAAACACAUUGUUAGCACAUUUAAUACAUCUUGGAAAACAUUAAAACUGAUUUUACAAAAAAUUCACAACUAAAAGAGUAGACAUGCAAUUCACAAAACAGACCAAAAACAAAACUAUUAUAGAUCAUUCCUCUACAAAGACAAGCUUGGAUUCCACUUGAGUAGACAAGACCAGACGACUUUUAAGAAGUCCAGACGACUUCUAAGAAGUCCAGACGACUUCCAGGAAGUUCAGACGACUUUCUCAGAAGACUUUUAGGAAGUUCAGACGACUUCCAGACGACUUUACAGGAAAUCCAGACGACUUUACAGGAAAUCCAGAUGACUUUAAGACGACUUCCAGACGACUUCCAGACGACUAACAAGUAAGUCGUCCCAGAAGUCUUCCAGAUCUGAAAAACCUGCAUAUUCAAAAACGUUCAAAUGGCUUAAAAACAGAAAAAAUGAGUGGAAGAUUAGAUAAAUCUACCUUUACAGAACACACAAAAAUACAUAUCAAAAAAUAAUAUAUCUACCUUUAAAUUAGUGGAAGAUGAGUAUCAUCUAAUUAAAAACCUGCAAAAAAAGAUAGAUUAGUAAGAAAGACAUGAGACAAAACUGAAAAAUUCAUAUAAAGUUUGGUGUUUUCAAGUCAAAGAGAUUAGAGUGGGUUUGGAGAGUUUUAGUUUGGGAAAAAAGUAAGAACUUUAUACAACAAGAAGUUACCAAAUGAAGAAAAAUCAGACAUAAGAACUUACCAAAACGCUCAGAAAAAUCCAGGCGACUUCGUGGAAGUCCAGACGACUUCCUGGAAGUCCAGACGACUUUGUCAAAAGACAUCCAAGAAGUCCAGACAACUUCUAGACGACUAACAAGUAAGUCGUCUCAGAAGUCUUCCAGAUCUGAAAAACCUACAUAUCAAAUCCAGAUGUGAAAAAUCUGCAUAUCCAAAAACGUUCAAAUGACUUUAAAAUAGAGAAAAUGAGUGGAAGAUUAGAUAAAUCUACAUUUAUAGAACACACAAAAAUACAUAUCUAAAAUUAAUAGAUCUACCUUUAAAUUAGUGGAAGAUGAGUACCAUUUGAUUAAAAACCUGCAAAAGAGAUAAAUUAGUAAGAAAUACAUGAGACAAAACUGAAAAAUUCAUAUAAAGUUUGGUAUUUUCAAGUCAAAGAGAUUAGAGAGAGGUUGGAGAGUUUUAGAAUGAUAAACAUUACAUUUUUGUUGCAGCCAUUUGAGAGGAGGAGAGAGAAUGUGUAAAUUUUUCUUUAUAUAGGGAGACAAAAAAAUCCAAUUAGGUUAAAUAUUUUUGACUCAGACGACUUCCUAGACGACUUACAUUUCAGUCGUCUGUUGGAGAAAUUAAAACAGAUGACUUACAUGUAAGUCGUCCAGAAGAGUUUAAUAUUUUUAGUGGGAAAUUAAAUAUUUAUAGCGGAAAACUAAAAUAGAAGACUUUCCAGACGACUUACAAGUAAGUCGUCUGGUUUAAAUUAUUUAAGCGGGAAAAUAUUUUUUUUUUUUAAAAUUAGGCGGGAAUUUUUGGACGACUUACAUGUAAGUCGUCUGUUUUAAUUUCUUCACCAGACGACUGAAAUGUAAGUCGUCCGAGUAAAAUGAUCCGGCUAGGUUAAAACGUACAUUGGUAAAAUUAAAGGUUCGGUACGAUGUGGACGACUGAAAUAUACAUCGUCCGGGUAAAUUAUUCAACAGACGACUGAAAUAUAAGUCGUCCACACCCUUAACAUAACCCAUAAACUUAAUUAUCUAAUUAAACACUUCAUAAAACCAAAUCAAACUUGAAAAGUGUUUACUAUACACAGAAAUAAACAAAUAUAGGUGAAAACUAAUUUUUUAAAAAACCAUUUUAGUUUUCCAAAAUCUAACCCUAACAAUACAUACAAUACUACAACAUAUGUUUGCCAAACUCCUAAACCAAAGUAUUUCAUGAUUCACUACUUCCACUCAUCUAUCUUCAAAACAAAUCAAUUUUAUCAUAUCUUAAUUUAUAUCACUUAAAACUGUUUAUAAUUGCUUGAUUUUUAUUUUUCACGCAUCAAAAUAUUUUUUUUAUAAGAUUUAUAAAUUAUUUUUAAAAUAAACUGGUACCAAACGACUUACACUUCAGUCGUCCAGACGAUUUCCAACAUCUCAGACGACUCAGACGAUUACUAGGGCUAUAUUCGUAAAAAUGGCUUCUGUUUUUUUGUUUGGUCACAAGGGGUUGAGCUGUAAUUUCACUAGGCUUUUAGGUUAGUUUUGCAUUUGAUUCAAGUUUGGGUAUAGGUUUGGGAUUAAAAUCAAGUUGUGGGUUAAUUUUGGCAAAAACCCCUUAAAUCGGAUGUUGCUCUUGAGGGACUUUUGGGCCUAAUACGGACACUUCCAACUGCGUGUGGCCACUGGGCUUAUUACAUGAGGAUACCCAGCUCCCGUGGAUGCCUUCGGCGGGCUCCGGCAGGCCCUUAGUGGCUCAGAUUUACCCAGACGGUCUUUAGGUGCUAGUCGGAUCCCCUCGGAGCAUUCAGAUACCAUGGUCAUCAAAAAAAAAAACCCUUAAAUAUAUUAGUAAAUUUAUAUUUUAGAUAAUAAUUAAAACCCUAAUUCUAAAAUAGAAACAUAACAAUUUUUCCUUUUGUUCCAAACUUCCAAUUUGUUAUUUUGUGUCACCUUGCAGUCUUGCAACACUUUUAUUUUGCCCAGAUUUAAAUUCAUAAAUUAGGUCUUCAAUUAUUUCAACUCAUCCCUUCCAUCAGCAAUAAGUGUUUUUAUAUCAAUGUUUUUUAUGAACAUAUUAUGAAAUUUAAUUUUUUUAAUAAAAAUUUAAGUUAUUUUUAAUACUGUUUUGUGAUUUUGAUAAAACAUGUACGAGAGCAUAGUUUUAAAUUUUGAUUGAGACAAUAUAAAAGGUUGGUCCGACACCGACUACCAUCAGCAUGUAAUCUAGAAAACGAAACUCUAACUUCGACAACUACAUUUGGCGGAUGUCUUUCUUCUUCUUUUCUUUUUUUUUUGUCAAAAAAAUUUUGUAUAACUUUGAUAUUACCAAGUACGUUGACAUAACACACUAUAAACCACUAUUUUACAUGUUUAAAAAAAAAACUAGCCUUCAAAACUGUUUUACAUGUUUUAGCUAAGAUUAUACAAUUAUGCAUAUUGAUCACCAUUCAAAUCAUAUAAAUUUUUCUUAUUAUUUCAAAUGAUCCUGUUUAAGAUAAAUAUUUUAAAAUAUGCUACAGGCUAUUCGUCUAGCAUAUAUAUAUUUUUGAUUAAUAUGGGGUAUCACGAACCUACCAGAGAGUCUAGACUAAUUCUCAAAUAAAUGUACAGUUUAUGGAUAAAUAAUUUCUCCAGAUAUGUAAAUAGGCCGUAAACAGAGACUCAUAUUCGUAUAGGUGUUCAGACCAAUAUGAUUUGGUUUCACAGAGCAUGUAGAUCGAAUUUAAAAUGUGGUGCCAUCCCAAAUCAUUCCCUUUACCACUUGACCACAUAGUCUCGAACUAUUCAUCUAGCAUAUUUACAAAUUAAUAUACAUAUGAAUUCCAACAAAAAAAAGUAGUUACAAACAUGAAUACCAACAAAAAAAAAUAGUUACAAAAAUGAAUACCAACAAAAAUACGAAAUCACAAAUAACAAAAACACUGCUGAUGUGCUCAUAAUACAACUGUUCAAUCUCAAUUUUCAAAUAUUAGAACGAAAUUAUGUAUCAAGCUUCACAUGGAAUGACAAACAAGCAACAACUAAAUUCGAUUAGCUUUACCGACGGCUUUUACAGGUAACGUAUAUAAUUUUAAAUAUAACAAAUGCAUUUAGUUAAAUAUAACAAAUAUAACAAGCCUCAUCAAGGCAUGAAGGAAACCCUAAAACUCAUGUUCAGUUCUGGAGUAACGCUUAUGUCAGCAAUCUGUCAGAGCGAUUAGUUUUGUAAAAUAAUACUGAUUAGUGCUCUAAUUACGCUAAAGACUAAAGUAGCUGAUACAUCAAAUCUAGCCACAUCCCCCUCCAUUAACAAGUGGAAGGCUUUUUUCUUCUUUUGUUAAGAAAAGUGGAAGGUUUUAAUUCCCUUUUAAACAUAAACUACACACAUAUAUAAAUGAAAGAGAAAGUUUCCACCUUUUGUAAUCUGUAAGGGUCAAGUAUAUUUUGAGGGAUACUUCUGUAAUCAUGUGUAUUGAUAUAUACUUCUCGUACUAAACAACUUAUGAAAUGCAGACCGGGAGCUUGUGGUCAAGUGAUAAAGGGAAGGGUUUGGGAUUUCACAACAUUUUAAGUUCGAUCCACCUACCAUACGAAACUAAAACUUAUGAAAUGUAUGUCUUGCUUUUCUUUGCCUCUAGCCAAUGCUUACUUUUGGUCAAAGACUCAAAGUCUACAAAGCGUUCAAGACUUUCAACUCCAUAGAUUUAUAUAUAAUUACAUAGUUUAAACUAUCUUAAUAAUUAUUGUUCUGCAUUAAUUUCUUUUUCCUUGUCCUAGUUAUCUGCUCACUAGCUUAUGGUGGUGUACUGGUCAAAUUGUCUUAUAAAGUUUUAUCAUUGCAAUGUCAAUCAUAGUUGUUUAUUAUAGACGUUAAGAUAUUGAAAAUUCAUAUGUUCCAAAAACUUAGUUUGACUUUGGUAAAGAUAAAAAAAACAAAAGUUGAGGAGAAAACAAGAAAAAUCAUGAAAAUCGUGCCACGGACGUUUAUAUAAAAAUGGUAAACUGGUAACAACAUAUCAGCCUUCAGUGAACUACAUUAAUUAGCUUAGCCUUACUAAAUACUCUUCGAGUUGUCGUUAUCAAUGCCAAUCGAGGAGGAGAGGACCAAACCUUUGUUUCUCCUAGAUGGGGUUUUGAACAGUUAUAAUUUUAUAACGCAUUGUGGUCACAGACGCAAAAUCAUUUCACGUAGGCCUAAAUACAAACGAGAAAAGAGCCUUUUGAUUAUUUCGUAUGUGUAAACUCAAACACAAA
This 10508-nucleotide long non-coding RNA is filed under the name Brassica napus (rape). Its description in RNAcentral is "long non-coding RNA (BNAP_LNC025499)". Lineage: Eukaryota; Viridiplantae; Streptophyta; Magnoliopsida; Brassicales; Brassicaceae. The record is from RNAcentral.